GACGAACGCUGGCGGCGUGCUUAACACAUGCAAGUCGAACGAUGAAGCCGGAGCUUGCUCUGGUGAAUUAGUGGCGAACGGGUGAGUAACACGUGAGUAACCUGCCCUUGACUCUGGGAUAACUGCUAGAAAUGGUAGCUAAUACCGGAUACGACCCUCGGAGGCAUCUUCAGGGGGUGGAAAGAAUUUCGGUCAAGGAUGGACUCGCGGCCUAUCAGCUAGUUGGUGAGGUAAUGGCUCACCAAGGCGACGACGGGUAGCCGGCCUGAGAGGGUGACCGGCAACACUGGGACUGAGACACGGCCCAGACUCGUACGGGAGGCAGCAGUGGGGAAUAUUGCACAAUGGGCGCAAGCCUGAUGCAGCAACGCCGCGGGAGGGAUGACGGCCUUCGGGUUGUAAACCUCUUUUAGUAGGGAAGAGGCGAAAGUGACGGUACCUGCAGAAAAAGCACCGGCUAACUACGUGCCAGCAGCCGCGGUAA
Molecule: ribosomal RNA, 484 nt
Filed under: uncultured bacterium
Lineage: Bacteria
Description: partial 16S ribosomal RNA
Rfam family: Bacterial small subunit ribosomal RNA
Source: RNAcentral